Molecule: transfer RNA, 66 nt
Filed under: Marmota monax (woodchuck)
Lineage: Eukaryota; Metazoa; Chordata; Mammalia; Rodentia; Sciuridae
Description: tRNA.Ala
Source: RNAcentral
GGUUGUGGCUCAGUGGUACAGCGCUCGCCUAGCAUGUGAGAGUCCCUGGGUUCAAUCCUCACAUCA